Ictalurus punctatus (channel catfish) is the source of this 969-nucleotide long non-coding RNA. The record is from Ensembl. Lineage: Eukaryota; Metazoa; Chordata; Actinopteri; Siluriformes; Ictaluridae.
UCUAAGAGUUUGUCACAACAACUAAAUAAAGUCUUGGUAAAGCUCUCGUCAGGCCGCGUCUCUGUUGCUUAGGUUUGUUGUCUUCUUGCAGAAUGAACCCACAUUUUUUUCCAUAAAGAAAUCGUUUAAAAAAAAAAAAAAAAAAAAAAAAAAAGGGUUCAUUUUCAGCUAUUCGACACAGAAAUCACGGGGGAUGCAAACUUUUGGACCCAACUUGUUUGUGUUCUAUGUUCACACACUUAAAUAUACUGCAUAUUUAUCAUUUAAGGGCCAAGGCUUUACAUGUAAUGCAGAAAUAUUUUUAAUACAUACCAGGAGGUAAAGUGAGGGAAGUGAGAGAGGAAGUGGGAGAGUGAGUAAGGAACUGAAUUAAAGAAGAAAGUGAAGAUGUUAAUGAUAGAUGAAAGAAGCCAGAGAGGUGAGUAAAGGAGCAACAGUGAGGGAGGAAAAACAGAAGUGGAAGUAUCUAGUGAGGGAGGGAGCGAGUGAUAAAAGGGUGUAAGUGAUAAAGGAAGGAAAUGAGAGAGGGAACAAACUAGGGAGGAGGAGGAACCAAGGGAAUGAGGGAGUAAUGUGAAGCAUAGGAUUUAGCGAGUUAGAGAGGAGGGUGUAAGUGGUAGAGUGACUCAGUAGGGUGUAUAUGGAUUAGUGAAUAAAGGAAUGAAGUGGGAAGAGAAGGAGGAAGAGGUGAAUGAGGGAGUGAGUAGGGUACAAGUGAGUAAGUGAAUUCGAGUGUAAAUGAGUAGGAAAUGAGAGUGAGUAGACAGUAGGGAGUGAUUAGUGUAGGGAGCGAGUAGGGUGUAGAGAGAGUACGGUGCAGGGAAUGAGUAGGGUGUAGCAAGUGUGUAGAGUUUAGGGAGUGAGUAGGGUGUAGGGAGUGAGGAGUGAGGAGGUUAUAGGGAGUGAGGAGGUUAUAAGGAGUAGGGAGUGAGUAGGGUAUAAUGGUAUAGGGAGUGAGUAGGGUGUAGG